GCUGAUCGUGAGCUAAUGCAAAAUCAGAAGACAGCAUCAGCUUAAGAAUAAAAGCAGAAACAAGGUUUGGAAUGUCACUACUUCUCCGUGAGCGGAAUUCCAUAACCCACCAGCUCCCAGGAGAUGGUUUGAAUUCCACUGAAGAAGUGAAUUUUACCAGGCGCUGGGGAUAAAGCCAAAAAGAAGCAUUAGAAAUACGUACGUAAAAAAUGGGAGAGAAGAUGUUGCUCCUAACUUGAUAAUGCACAGAUGCUAGCACUGCUGUGUAAAAUUCAUGCAAGUCUUCCUUGGCAACUGCAGUGAAAUGAAACCUAAAGUGACAGCCUGAGACAAAGAGGAAAGCCAAAGCACGCUGUGCUGUGCAGGGCCUGGCUGAGUGGGUGACGUCGCUCAGAGAGCCACCAUUCGAGUGUCACAGCUGUCACCAUCCAUUCCCUGCACAUCAAAUCCAUUCUGCUUCUGUCUGGGGCAGGAGCUUGUUACCUCAGAAGCUGACGAGAACCAGAGAUUUUUUUUCAUAUUUCCUCUUUGCCUCAACUACGUGCUGUCAGUUAGGAAAUCCACAGCUCAGUAUUGACAUGUGUGAUUCCCAGUUUGACUUCUGCGCUGGAGUCCAACUGGAACUGUGCACCAGUGAAGGUCUGCUUCCCAUAAAGGGCCUCUCUGAAAUGGGGCACUCAAGAGACAAAGGCCUGUUCAUAUAUAAAAGGGGGAAGAGAAUACUGGAACAAAGAGGAAUUUCUACUAUUUCCUGCUUUGGUAUAUUCACAAAAAUCAGACCUUUUUAGUGAAUGAAUGCCAGUAACAGAUUAUAUAUCCUUAUGUUUAUUAAUUACCUUUCCUUUCUCAUUCAAGCUUUGAUAGCUGCUAUUCUCAAAUAGGUAACAGAUAAACAUAAUGAACUCUUCUGGAUGAAGGCUGAAAGUCACAGAGCUAUGAAAUAAUGCAAUUGAAAAUGGAGGAAGAGUGGUCCCAGUGCUGUCAUACCAGCAGUGAAUGCACAUCAGACAAUGCAAAAUGCUGUACGCUCAACAGAGACAUGGUCCAUAAUACAAGAGCAUAGGAAUUUCAUUUCCAUGCAGAGCUCAAUACAAUUAAAAAAGAAAAAAAAAGAAAAGAAAGAAAAAAGAAAGAAAAAAAAGAGCGGGAUUAUAUGAGUGGUAAUUUGGUGUUAUGGAUAUAUGGAUGAGGUAUUUUCUUAGAAGCCUUAAAAUGAUGAUGAUUGCAGUUUGGUCCAUGACCCGGGGGGGGACUUCCUGCUUCUGCUGGUGAGUUUGCUUGUUUGUUUGUUAUUGCGCACAUUGCUCUAGAGAAGUAGGACUUAGCAAGAAAAAUUAACCUAUUUUACUUUAUUUUUUACUUCUAUAGCGUUGCUAUUGCAAUUCCAUAGAGUUCCAUUAUUUUCUCAUGCAGAAGCACAUUAUAACUUUUAGUUUUCAUUGUUUCAGAUGAAUGUUUAUAUUUUAAAAAUGAUAAUAAUUAUGUUUUUCACUAAAGAAAGUUGUGGGACUUCUCAUUACAACCUCUAUAAAAUGUGAAGAUUUACUCUUCAGCAUGGAGAGAGAGAGAGAGGGGCAUCACAUGCCUCUCCUGCCUUCGUUCAGGGGAAAAGAAAACUUCAUUUUUUAUAUUUUAGGAUAGUCUAUUUUAAGAACUAGUCCAUAGAAGUCCAUGGAGUUUAAUGUCAUUUCUUCAACUGCAAUGCAAAGAGAAACUGAAACAUGAAAAAAAGCACGUGCUGAGAAAUAAUAUUCUGGCAGUGGAGUUCAUUUUCAACAAAAAACAAAUAAUACUGGUCCCCUCACAAAGACUUGUUAAAUAUUAACUAGCACCCAGAAGACAUAAGCAAUGACUCAGAUACACAGGAAAAAGCCCCCAAGGUUCCUGUUUUACUGGAGCAUUCCAGAACCUGCUGAAGUGAACCUCAGGAAGUCAGGCCAUGUCUGAAGGGCAGAGCAGCACAGUGGCCCAAUGUCCCCCAUGGCCAUCUUCUCCCUGUCUCCUCUUGCAAGUUUGGAGUGAACAACAGAAAGCAGUCGCUCCUCAGAGUGCUGUUUUUUCAGGGACUGACUGCAAGAUUUCAAGUUGUUGAUCAUACGGACUUGAUUGUGGAUGUGAGUUGCACCUUCCUGACUACAAACACUGAGCCAGGUUAAUGCCUGUACCUCUGGAGCCUUAGGAGCACAAAAAGUUCUGCUCUCCUGGAAGGGACUUCAAAGAAGAAAGGAAAAAAAACCAUCGGUUCAACAAUUUACAUAUUCCUCUCACGAAAGAAAAAUGGGGAGAAACAGUACAUAUGCUUACUACCCAGCUUCCUUCCUUGUGAGGAACCUCCUCUGACUGCCAUGACCUUUCUAAGGUAAUCAAGAGUGGCUUCACAAUGACACUGACCAGCUUCCUCAGUGCUCGUGGGGAUCUCAUCGGGUCACAUGGACUUGUGCACGCACAAUUUCUUUAAAUCUUCCCUGACAUGAUCCUCUUCUGUACAGGGUAAGUCUUCAUUACGCCACAUGUUCCCACUGGCUCCAGUCUUACCUGUUGGAAUCAUAUUUCUCCAGGUUGCAUCACAGACCUACCUUCUUGGGUCAGAGCUUGCAAAGGGCAGUUCAGCUUACUGAAAAUAUGGUGGAUAAUGAAGUAGUAAAAUAUUUUUACAGUCCAAAAAUAGUACCAAGCCCAAGAUUAUGAAAAAGAACUCACUUUCACCUCCAGUUUUAAGGUGUAGCUUUUUACUCAGAAUUUAUUUAUUUAAAAUAAGACCCAGUAGGUUUAUUUUAAAUCAUGUUGCAUUGCUGUAUUUGAUUUUUUUUAGAUUGCAAAAAUUACUACAAAUGUUGGCAAGCUUAUAGAAAAUAGUUGUAAGUAUAAAUAUAUCAAAAGUUGUGAAAAAGAAACUGAGUGACUUUACUACUAGAAAACCAACUAGUUAUUUAGCUAGUUGAUUUGUAGAUGCAGUCACAUACCUAGACCCUCCUUGCAUUUGCUCCCAUGGUUGUUCCUCCUUUAAAUUUAAAGAUUAAUGGUUGUUCUCAUUUUGGCUGAGACAGAGUUUAUUUUCUUCCUAGUAGCUGGUAUGGAACUGUGGUUUGUAUUUAAGAUGAAAAUACUGUUAAUAACACACUAAUGUUUUAGUUGUUGCUGAGCAGUGCUGACAUUAAACCAAGGGCUUUUCUGCUUCUCAUGCUGCCCUGCCAGCAAGGAGGCUGGGGUGCACAAGCAGCUGGGAGGGAAGAGAACCAGAAUAGUGACACAAACUGGCUGAAAGGAUAUUCCAUAAUAUAUCAUGUCUUGCUCAACCAUAAAACUGGGCAGAGUUUGCUGGGCGGCCUGCAAUUGCAUUGUUGUCCUGUCCAAAAGCAGGACACCAGUACGAAGUAUAGGAAGUAAAAAGAGAAUUAGAUGCCAUGUUCUCUCUAGUGCUGCAUGUAUAAUAACUGCUGAAGUCAGUGAGAAGUAAGGAGCUUGUUUUUUUUUCAGGAUCAAGUCCUGUCUGCCACAAUCUGAUCUUUCUUAAUCAUCCUUAUCACUCAUGGCUGCAAUAUUCUUUUAUCCUAUAUGAACUUCAGACUUUCAAAACAAACUCAAUGAGGCACAGAAAUGAACUAUGCUAUUCACCAAGUAAAAAGAUGGGUUGGAGAGAAGGAAUAUUCUUGUCUGCUCAUUUGGGAUCUAUGCCAGUAGUUUCAAGUUUCUGAAUGUUAUCAAUGACUUUUCUCCAAAGUUAGUUUUGCAAGCUGAUACAGUACUUCAAUAUUUCUAUUUUGCUUAAGUGAAAAUGAAAGAAAAUAAUGUAUUUAAACCUUGGUCACCAUGGAACUUGAAAAAGUGUUGUAAAUGUGUACUUCUAUAUGUGUUUCUCACUAAAAUUAAAGCCACAGACCCUUUAGUAGCAUUCCAUUUCUUUUCUUUUUUUUUUCUUUAUCAAAACAUUUUGUAUUUUGAGAGAGGAUACGGGAUAUGCAUAUCUUCCUUGCAUAACCUUUAAUGAGCUUUUAAACCAGCAGGGCUCUUUCAGAUACUGGCAAGCAAAAGCAGAAUUUGAGACCUUUCUACAGUUUUGAUUGAGAAGAUGAUGUUAUUUGUUCAUGGCUCCAUCAGAGCAAAAAUGGAAAAAGAAACCCAUACAUUUUAAGGAAAAAUAAACUGUCUGGGGAGGAGGAAGAAGUUAUAGUGUCUUGAACUAAAGGUUGAACAGAGCCUGGGAGCAGGACGCUCUCACCAUAUGCAGUAACUGUCUGUUCAGAUCUGGAAAAGACAAGUCCUGUACAUUCUUUGUGGGGAACUAGACAUAGGUGCUCGAUUCACUGAUUAUUAGCAGAGGCUAUUGAACAUACUUCUGACAGUGGCAACUUUAGAUCACUGCAAAGCAAGUGCAAAAAAUGUGUAUAUUAUUUUCAACUAAGUAAGGAAAAAUGACAAAUGAAUUUGUUUCUGUAAGAGAGUCUGUGAAAUUCCAAGAUACUCUUGCAUAUGAAAUCCACUUAAAUAAAGAGAAGAUACAUUUGAAGUAAAUGAUAAAGAGUGGGUUUUGUCCCUUUCCUUAGAUUUGUAGACCUGGUCAAACCCAAAUAAUGUCACACAUUUCUUUGUCUAACUUGGGUAAAGGUAUAUGAUUUGUACAUCCUGUAACCUAUACAGAGGGAAAAAAUAGAAAGAUGAUUCUUAAUAAUUCUGAUUCAUUCAAACUACCAUGUCAGAUCCUUAAGCAGUUGCUAGUGUGGACAGGGUCCAAAACAAGGAAUUCUGCAAAGUUCUCAUGAGUACCUAAAAUGGGGGAAAGGCAUUAACAGAUGGAGGAAAUGAGUCUGGAAUGAGUCUGGGAUAAAAGGAAGAGAAGAAAAAUAUGAUGGAAAUGUUAAAAGAAAGGGAAAAAAUAUGAUGGAAAAUUAUUUUGUUUAAAAGCUGGCAUUUGGUAUUUUCAAAGGGCAAAAUGUAUUUUUAUUUAUGACAAAUGAAUGUAAAAAUGUGCAUGCCUCAUGGCCUAGAGGACAAAACAGUGGGAUCAAUGCUCUUUUUGUACUCUAUGAAGCUUGAGAUUAAAGUCCCCACUGAUAAACUGAACAUUCUUUAAAAGUGACCAGAAGCAAACAGUGUCUGUUUGCUGCUACUUUAUUAGAAAGAUACCACUGAGAAUAGCUAAGAAUACUAUUUGAUCUUAAACAGGUUGACCAAAUUAUUACAGUUGGCUCCAGUACAUGAGAUGCUUUCUGCAAAUUAUUGUUUCUGGUUAUAAACCUUUAUAAUAUCUCUGAAUGAAUUAUGUAUGUAUUUCAUGUUUUCUUUUCUUUUAUCAGCCUUGAUGUUCUCAUUUCAAGUUUCACCCUAGCCUCCUAAUAAUGCAAUAUUGAGGCCAUUCAGACACUAAUUAUGCCUCCAUGGCUUUCUUGAAAUGACUAAAUCAGCAUCAGUUCUAUAAUUAUCAUUAGCAAGUUUGUAUCCGUGCCUCACAUCACA
RNAcentral lists this long non-coding RNA (5454 nucleotides) under Gallus gallus (chicken). RNAcentral describes it as "lncRNA (ENSGALG00010026631.1)". Lineage: Eukaryota; Metazoa; Chordata; Aves; Galliformes; Phasianidae. The record is from RNAcentral.